RNAcentral lists this ribosomal RNA (571 nucleotides) under uncultured low G+C Gram-positive bacterium. RNAcentral describes it as "bacterial SSU rRNA". It matches the Rfam family "Bacterial small subunit ribosomal RNA", at positions 1 to 580 of the family's 1533-position model. The record is from RNAcentral. Lineage: Bacteria; Bacillati; Bacillota.
GCCCUUAGAGUUUGAUCAUGGCUCAGGACGAACGCUGGCGGCGUGCCUAACACAUGCAAGUCGAGCGAAGCAUACGGAUUAGCUUGCUAAACUGUAUGACUGAGCGGCGAACGGGUGAGUAACACGUGGGUGAUCUACCUGAAAGUCUGGGAUAACAGUUCGAAAGGGCUACUAAUACCGGAUAACAUUGGAGCUGUAGAGGCUUCAAUCAAAGCGUUACGGAGCGCUUUCAGAUGAGCCCGCGUCCCAUUAGUUAGUUGGUAGGGUAACGGCCUACCAAGGCGACGAUGGGUAGCCGGUCUGAGAGGAUGGUCGGCCACACUGGAACUGAGACACGGUCCAGACUCCUACGGGAGGCAGCAGUGGGGAAUUUUGCGCAAUGGGGGCAACCCUGACGCAGCGACGCCGCGUGAGCGAAGAAGGCCUUCGGGUUGUAAAGCUCUGUUGAGAGGGAAGAUAGUGACGGUACCUCUUAAGCAAGCCCCGGCUAACUACGUGCCAGCAGCCGCGGUAAGACGUAGGGGGCGAGCGUUGUCCGGAAUUACUGGGCGUAAAGGGCGUGUAGGCGGCC